UUCUCUAUUUCUCAUUAUAGUUUUGACAUAUAUGAAUUGCAGCUUAUACAAGAUUUGACAUAAUUGUUUAUGGAGUAGCGUAUAUGUAUAACUAUAGGAUGGCUAAGCAAUAUGCAGCAGCAACAUGAACGCACCAUCAAAUAACAAACAAGGUUCAGCGAUUCCACAUCUACUGGGGCUUUAACUUCUGCAUUGGUGACUACUAUGGCUCUCACUUAUGACAUAUGGCAAAGCAUUCUGUAUUUUAUAUUCACUCCACCGAGGGAUUAACUCAUGAAUUAACCGUGCCAUCCAUGUUAUUGCAAAACUAUUGUCUUCAGCUACUUUUGCGUGUAGCCAUUUCCUAUUAUUUGUGAUUAAUAUCUGAUGCUGAUCUCUACGGAGCCUAUUAUAUACUUGCCGCAAAGCUUAUCUCCAUGCUACAAAUCAACUGCCAAGCCUAAGAAUGGUUCUUCAUUCUUAUCUCUUGCAGUGCACAUUGUUAUCAUAACUGCAUCCAAAUAAUCUCUGUGGUUCACCUUUUCUCUGGUUUAUAUGUUGCCCGAAAGAGAAUCUUGAAAGAGAUAUCAACCACAACUCUUAUUUGAGAAGACUUAUGUCGUUUUCUGUGAGCUCCCGUGGUUAG
Molecule: long non-coding RNA, 625 nt
Filed under: Actinidia chinensis (golden kiwifruit)
Lineage: Eukaryota; Viridiplantae; Streptophyta; Magnoliopsida; Ericales; Actinidiaceae
Description: long non-coding RNA (ACHI_LNC008401)
Source: RNAcentral